UCGGGAAUUUUGGGCAAUGGGCGAAAGCCUGACCCAGCAACGCCGCGUGAAGGAUGAAAUCCCUCGGGAUGUAAACUUCGCAAGAACGGGAAGAAUAAGUUGGUGCGAACAUCACCAGCGAUGACGGUACCGUUUGUAAGCUCCGGCUAACUCCGUGCCAGCAGCCGCGGUAAUACGGGGGGAGCAAGCGUUGUUCGGAUUUACUGGGCGUAAAGGGCGCGUAGGCGGCCACCGCAAGUCGAUUGUGAAAUCUCCGGGCUUAACCCGGAAAGGUCAACCGAUACUGCGGGGCUAGAGUGCAGAAGGGGCAACUGGAAUUCUCGGUGUAGCGGUGAAAUGCGUAGAUAUCGAGAGGAACACCUGCGGCGAAGGCGGGUUGCUGGGCUGACACUGACGCUGAUGCGCGAAAGCUAGGGGAGCGAACGGGAUCAGAUACCCCGGUAGUCCUAGCCUUAAACGAUGGAUGCUUGGUGUCUGGGGUUUUAUAGUCCCCGGGUGCCGUCGCUAACGCUUUAAGCAUCCCGCCUGGGGAGUACGGUCGCAAGACUGA
RNAcentral lists this ribosomal RNA (550 nucleotides) under uncultured Acidobacteriota bacterium. RNAcentral describes it as "bacterial SSU rRNA". It matches the Rfam family "Bacterial small subunit ribosomal RNA", at positions 355 to 897 of the family's 1533-position model. The record is from RNAcentral. Lineage: Bacteria; Pseudomonadati; Acidobacteriota.